RNAcentral lists this ribosomal RNA (786 nucleotides) under Hypoderma rubi. RNAcentral describes it as "eukaryotic LSU rRNA". The stretch from base 436 to 589 matches the Rfam family "5.8S ribosomal RNA". Lineage: Eukaryota; Fungi; Ascomycota; Leotiomycetes; Rhytismatales; Rhytismataceae. The record is from RNAcentral.
GAGGAAGUAAAAGUCGUAACAAGGUUUCAUCUACAGUAGCCUUUGCAUCCUGGUGCGACCAGGAGGCCCCCCGCGACUGAAAAUAAUGGUGGCCGUUUGCAAGUCAGGAUUCGUCUUGGCGACACAGCUAAAUUAUCGGGGAUACCCAGGCUUCGCGGCCUGGAAGAUCCGUAGCACGUCAGUGUUCACAGGCUAAAUAGUUGUGGGUUCAGCCAGCAGGCCGGGCUUAAGAUAUAGUCGGUCCUCGUGAUGGAUCACGGGGAGACAGCGUUCCGUAGGUGAACCUGCGGAAGGAUCAUUAAAGAAUCGGUGGCCCUCGCGGUCCCAUUCUCACCCUUUGUAUACCAAACAUCAGUUGCUUUGGCUGGCCCUCGGGCCGGCCAGAGGAUAUAAACCCUUGAAUCUUUGCUGUCUGAGUACUAUAUUAAUAGUUAAAACUUUCAACAACGGAUCUCUUGGUUCUGGCAUCGAUGAAGAACGCAGCGAAAUGCGAUAAGUAAUGUGAAUUGCAGAAUUCAGUGAAUCAUCGAAUCUUUGAACGCACAUUGCGCCCUCUGGUAUUCCGGGGGGCAUGCCUGUUCGAGCGUCAUUACAACCCUCAAGCCUGGCUUGGUGUUGGGCUCGCCCUCAGUGGGCCUGCCUCAAAAUCAGUGGCGGCUCCGUCCGGUCUCAAGCGCAGUAAUGCUCGUCGCUUGUUGGUCCUGGGCGGCGGCCUGCCAGCAACCCCCAAUUUUACAUUGUUGACCUCGGAUCAGGUAGGGAUACCCGCUGAACUUAAGCAUAUCA